GCAGGGUGUGGUGGCACACACCUGUAGUCCCAGCUACUAAGGAGGCUGAGGUGGGAGGAUGGCUUGGGCCCAGGAGGUCGAGGCUGCAGUGAGCGAGAUUGUACCACUGCACUCCAGCCUGAGUGACAGAGCCAGACCCCAUCUCAA
Molecule: unclassified non-coding RNA, 147 nt
Organism: Pongo abelii (Sumatran orangutan)
Lineage: Eukaryota; Metazoa; Chordata; Mammalia; Primates; Hominidae
Rfam family: Metazoan signal recognition particle RNA
About the family: The signal recognition particle (SRP) is a universally conserved ribonucleoprotein. It is involved in the co-translational targeting of proteins to membranes.
Source: Ensembl